This 477-nucleotide ribosomal RNA is filed under the name uncultured bacterium. RNAcentral's name for it is "partial 16S ribosomal RNA". It matches the Rfam family "Bacterial small subunit ribosomal RNA", at positions 28 to 523 of the family's 1533-position model. The record is from RNAcentral.
GACGAACGCUGGCGGCGUGCUUAACACAUGCAAGUCGAACGGUAAGGCCCUUCGGGGUACACGAGUGGCGAACGGGUGAGUAACACGUGGUGAUCUGCCCUGCACUUCGGGAUAAGCCUGGGAAACUGGGUCUAAUACCGGAUAGGACCACUGCCUGCAUGGGUGGUGGCGGAAAGCUUUUGCGGUGUGGGAUGGGCCCGCGGCCUAUCGGCUUGUUGGUGGGGUGAUGGCCUACCAAGGCGACGCCGGGUAGCCGGCCUGGGAGGGUGACCGGCCACACUGGGACUGAGAUACGGCCCAGACUCCUACGGGAGGCAGCAGUGGGGAAUAUUGCACAAUGGGCGCAAGCCUGAUGCAGCGACGCCGCGUGAGGGAUGACGGCCUUCGAGUUGUAAACCUCUUUCAGCACCGACGAAGCGCAAGUGACGGUAGGUGCAGAAGAAGGACCGGCCAACUACGUGCCAGCCGCCGCGGUAA